UCGUCUUUUUGUCGACUUUCAAAAUCUUACGUGCACGUCGUCGAGAAAUAUUCUUAGUUUUUCGAUACAAGUCCAAUAAUGAAAGUUUUUAUUUUUGGACGACGAGUGAAUAGUAAAUCGGGAUUUCUCGAUAAACGAACCGAGCUCGUUUAUCAGAAUUUUGAGAACGAGCUUGCGUUUUCUAUAUUUAUAUAGAAUUACGAGUGCAAUGAAAGUGAGUAGAGGUUGAGAGGGCGAGUAACAAAGAGUAUGGGUUGUUAGUUGUUAAAACGAGACGAGACGAGAUAUUUAACGACUAACGGGUUAAUAUCCUAAAUAUCUAACCUACCCUACCCCUAACCACCCCCAAACCUCCCAAAACCCCUUUCCCCUCACUAACUCACGCUAUAUCAGCCCACACCACACACACAACUCACAUAUUCACACACACAACACCUAAAACACACACUACACACGCCAUUUUCCAUUUAAGCUUGGACGGAGCUUUUGACCUCCGAUUUGAGCACCGAGACGAGCGCCGAUCAUCUUUUCGAUCACGUAUCUAAGUAGGUCCUUUUGGGAAGUAACGACUUGAGGGAGAGAGUGACGUUACUCAUUGAUACAGAGACACAACGAGGUUGAGCUGAUGUGAUGAUGGUGCUGCAAUGAGCGGAGUCUCCAGGGUUGUUAAUAAAUAGUUAACCUGUCUAGAAUAUGUCUUCAUACAUAUGUCUAGCUACUUUCCGCUGCAAGAUGUUGUUGAUGUUAUAGUAUGUUAUGUCAUACUUUGAGUCUUAAGAGAAUGGUUGCAUAUGAUGUAUAACUUGAUUAAUGAUAUUAAUUAACUUUUAUGCAGUCUUUCAUAGACUGUUUUCAAUUGAGUAUUAAUGAAUAAAAAUGACGAGUUUAAUUAA
Molecule: long non-coding RNA, 893 nt
Organism: Salvia miltiorrhiza (redroot sage)
Lineage: Eukaryota; Viridiplantae; Streptophyta; Magnoliopsida; Lamiales; Lamiaceae
Exons: 3
Source: RefSeq, a predicted model, not a curated record